CACGUGCAAAGGGCAAAACAAUGCACUAAAGUCUCUAUCUUUUAUAUUGAACUUUUCAUUUCUAGAAUACAUAUUCACAUGCUGCAAAUGGAUGUUGAAGGCAGCAACUAUUCUCCAUAGGCGUAGCAACUAUUUUCCAUAAGGCAGCAUUCAUUUGUAAGGUGAUAAAUAUUAAGGGUCGGAUCCAUGGACCACUAAAAGAGGUGAAAUCCAAAUCUUAUUCAAGUGAUGAAUAUAUUGGAAUGGAAAGUGAGGGCAGCAGCAACUUGUACGAAUUGCAAUGGAAUAUUUCCAUUGCUGGAGGAAAUUAACAUGACCGGAUAUCCUUAGUGGCAACACUGGUCAAUUUUGUUACGCAUUUAGCUCACUGUUUCAAUCUCGUCAUUCCGUUUAUCGCGUUGUAGGAUCCGGGCUUUCUUUGAAGUGAAGUAAGGUGGAAGAAGAUUAAAUCUUGGCAUAUAAGGCUAAAAGAGCGACGAGACGAACGGGUUACGAAUAGCCGCUAACAGGUAUGUAAAGUUAUCCCUUCUUUCUUUUGGCAUGGUGAUGACUGAUAUGAACUUUGGAGUAAUUCCAUUCAUAAGCUUUGAGUAAUAUUUAUGAUUCUUAUUCACUUCUUGAUAUUACAAUUCUCAAGUGAUUGAGCCUUCCUCUUCAGUUUCUGUACGUAGGAUAAUUGUCGAUACAUAAGCUCCUAUUCUCAGGAACUUGGUAAUAACUAAUGUCCAGGCUUCUAUAAAUUGUUUCAUAUAAUCUUGAUACAUGUCCAUGAUUUCUAAGUCUCUUGAUAUAUUCUAAAAUGACAUUCGAGGGAUACUUGAUAUGAUUGUCGCUAUUAAUACUCAAGUGUUAACCUUUUCUUCCUAUCCUGUUGAGUCUUGAUAAUGAUUUAAAUUGCAUAUGGUUUCUCACUACUCUGCUCGUGCAUGCCUCAAUAUGUCUUUCACCUAGUCCCGGGUCGGGUAUGUUAUCGUGCAUAGUUUCACUGCAUUGUUCACCGAGUCCCUCACUAGAGGGCCGGGUACGGUAUAUAUAUAUAUAUAUAUAUAUUAUGGUGUUAUGCUGUGUUAUGGAGUUAUGCUGUGUUACGGAGUUAUGCUAUGUUACGGAGUUAUACUAUAUUCUGGAGUAUGAUGUGUUAUGGCGCCAAAGACGGGGUGGCGACCAUGUUCACCGAGUCCCAUAAUGGGGCCGGAUAUGAUAUAUGAUAUUGAUAUGCAUGAUUUAUGUUUCAAAGGCAAGUGUUUUGGUAUUCUGGAUAUUGUACCCGUUUUCUGUAUUCCUUAUUUAAGUUAUGAUCCUUUUUACUGUAUUUCAUGUUUUACAUGCUCAAUACAUAUUCCAUACUGACCCCCUUUCUUCGGGGGGCUGCGUUUCAUGCCCGCAGGUGCAGAUACUCGCUUUGGUGAUCCGUCAGCUUAGGAUUCCCUUUCUGAUGCCUUGGAGAGCUCCGUUGUUCCGGAGUCUAGACUUUUGGUUUGAAUAUUAUGAUAUAUAUAUAUAUAUAUGUGUGUGUGUGUGUGUUAUCCAGGGGUACGAUGGGGCCCUGUCCCGUCAUAUUUCGCUAUUCGUACUCUUAGAGGUCUGUAGACAUAUGUGUGGGUUGUGUAUGGGUUUUGUUCAGCUGUGUCUAUGCGAUGUGCUGUGGUAUGAUGUCCGUCUAUAGUGGCAGCCUUGUCGGCUUGCAUACGAUAUUGAUAUGUGAUGGCAGCCUUGUCAGCUUGCGUAUUAUUUCAUGAUAUGACUAGUUGUGACUCCUCAGGAGACAGUGAUCUGGAAGUAUAUAUAUGUGAUGAUGUUACGAACUAUGUAGUUCCUUUACAACUUUCCGUAUUGUCGUAGUUUCAGUGUGACUAUAUCUGAUAGGUACGUAUACGGGUGUCCAGGUCGGGCACCAGUCACGGCCUACGGGGUUGGGUCGUGACAAAAGUGGUAUCAGAGCAGUUCGUCCUUGGAGUGUCUACAGAUCGUGUGUAGUAGAGUCUUGUUUAUCGUUGUGUUGUGCACCACAUCUAUAAACAGGAAGCUACAGGGCAUUUAGGAUGUUACCUUUCUUUCAUAUCUAAGAUCGUGCGAUAGAGCCCAGUCAUAGGAAAUGAAAUUCCUUAUACUAACCUUUGAUUUCAGCUGAAGAACGACAUCGACAGAAGAAACGACCGAUGAUAUUGGAAGCUACACGGUACACAGGUAAGCAGUGGUGCGAAAGAGGCAUGUUGGAUAAGGUAAGAAUAUAGAAACAUGAUUGGAAUGUAAAGUUGGAGGACGAAAGAGAAGCUGGAUAGGAAAGUAUAACAGAACAGAUCGUUGAAGGAUCAGGUACGUCUCGAGGUUCGAUAUGUGAGGUAAGUCCCGACACCUUUAUACUUUUUUCUGGAAAUUGGGAGCCCUGUGUGGCCAUGAUAUGAUAUGAUAUAUGCGUAUAUAUGUUGGCCCUGUGAGGCAUUGUUGGUAUUUCCUGCGUGCAGGUUCUGGGAUAGUAAAAAUACAGAGGAAACUCUGCCCAAAUUUACCCAGAAAUAGGAAAAAGGGAGAGAAUGAGAUAUAAGUUCAUAAUAUGUCUUGAAAAUCGAUACUGAUAGGGUAAAUUUGAUAUGUUGGACUAAAGCUUUAAGAGAUACCGUCCAUGUAGUCCGUAAGGGGCACUAUUCUUAUCUGGAAAAUUUUAUUUCGAAAAAGCAUAUAUGAGCAGCAAAGUUUGCAAUUCAUUUGGACGGACCAGAAUACUUUCCAACCACAUUUUGCCUUAGAAAAGCCCAUGUUGAAGGGUAAAAACGUCUAGUAAUUAAGUUUCACUUUUAUUGAAAAGUACAAAGCAUACAGCCCGUAGUUUAUGAACUAAAUGAUUCGUUCACGACUCAAGAAUAAACCUGGAGGUAAAUCAUGUGAAUCAAGCACUAAGAAGUCCUGUGGUGCUUGUCGGAUUCUAGUUCUCUUCUGGUGGUGGUUGGAGAAUGCUUCAUAGUAACAUUUCAUUAGUUCUUAACCAACUAAUUGGAGAUGGAAUUUGCAGAAGGAAAACUUAAACUUGUGGGCUGUCUUAGAUCAUGUGUUUCAUGUGUUGUUGAUGAAAUGCUUGGAUGAUUCGGAAGGGCUUGUGAUACUAAGGGAUGAUUUAGAAAAGGCUGGCAACUCUUAAUAGAGUAUUAUAUUGAGGUACCACUGAAUUGACAAGCAGGGAUAAAUUACUACGGGUUUAUAGUUAGAAGAAAUAACAGUAUGAUUGAGACAAGAGUACAGAGGAAGAAGAGUUAUGACAAAUUAUGAAGGUAUUGAUAAGACAGCAUGUGAGAUAUUAUGGGUAAGAUUGAUCAGAAAGGGUGAAGGGUUAAGUACGCCUAGUCCACGGAGUGUAAUUAAAAACAUAGUGAAAAUUGUGAAUAAGAUUAAGAAGUGUUACGUUAUAGGAUGGAUUACGAAUAGGAUAUAAUGUGAAUAUAAUGAGGAUUGUUAUGAAAAUAAGUAAAGCCUAGUGAGGAAGUGACUAAAAGAUAUGAUGUGAUCUAUGUGACUAAAGUAUAAAGGCGAGCUAUAGAGCAGAUAAGAAAGACUUAUAAAGUUCUUCUGUAGGGAAAGUUUAGAAUAAAGGUUAUGUGAUAACGGAAAUGAUAGCGAGCACCAGAGAAGAAAGAGUAAUUGAAAGAAGGAAAUAAGAAGAAAGCGAGAUAACAGUGUAGCAAUAAGUCAUGACAUGUGUAGCCGAGGACACGAGUACUAUAAGUGACGGAACUGUGAAAGACCAAGUUAUAGAAAGAUGAGCAACGAGGUAGAAUGAGCAGAAUACGUUUUGAAAAUAAGAAAUGGAUUAUGCAAAAGUGAUGUUUUCCGAAGGGUACAGAGGUAGCACAAGAUUCCUCGUGCACAAAAUAAAAGAUAGACAUAGACGGGAGAAAUGAUAAGGGAAUUUUAAAGGAAGUACCCAAGAUAGAUGUAAUAAAUGGAGUAUGACUGAUAAAUAAAAAGGAAAUAUAUGGCUACGAAAUUAAAGGUGUGGUAUGACGACAAGGUGAUAAGAUAAGAUUAUCAUUAAGAUGAACUUGAUAUGAUUUUGAGUAAGUUAGAAGUCAGUACUGAGCACACAACAAGGAUAAAAGGGUAUAAGGCAUAAAGGAGUCCUGCGUGUGCACGACUUUACCUCGAAAAUAGUGGAAUCCUUAAAGGACAAAGACGGUAGGCUUGAGGAGCAAAUGAUGUAUUGUAAAUCUAUUAAAGAAAACAGAUGAUAUAGGUUGGGAUAGAGAUAAUGUUACAAGAGGACUUUGGACACUUAUCAUCUGAAUAUAGGUGCUAUCUAAUUGAGAUUGGAACGACUACAAGUACUAAUUAAUUAUUGAUUGGAGUAAGUGGAAUGUGGCCUUGGACGAGUUGCUAGUUGGUCGCAUUACUUGAAUAUAGAUUAUCAGAUAAGAUUUUGUACUAUAUAUAUAUAGAAAGGCUCUCGUCGCUUCGUGAUUUUGUUGAGAUUUCGUACGUAGAUAAUCAAAGUUAUAGAUUAUAAGGAAAAGACAUGGAUAUGAUAUAGUAUACUAAGCGAAUUGGAAAAAGAUCAGAUGAAUUUGAGAUUGGAAAUAGGGACAUAGAGCAGAGUAUAAACGGAUGAUGGUAUAAGUACACCCUUAAGGGGGGAAGCGGGUAAGAGAAAUGCAAGUGUAAGAUGGAAACAAUUGACACUGCAACAUAUUUGAUAUGGAUGUUUAAACUUCAAGAGAGAUCCCUUGCUGAGACACGUUAGUAAGAUCUAAAAGCCAGCAAUGAAUGGAUAGAAGUCAGGAUGGUAAUUGAGACAGUGCUGAGAAUUAUUUGUAAAGAUCGUGAAUGAUAUGACAUUAGAAAGUGGGUGCUUAUAAAAAAAAAAGAGUACGACAAGAGAAUGGUAACGAGUAACUUAAGAGAUAUUAUAAAGGAUAGCAACGUUAUACUGGAUUAGAGGCUAAGAUGUUGGCAAUAGAGUUGUUCGCUAAUGAUAUUGCGACUUACAAGUAGCAAAGGAAAAGGGAUAGAAAAUCUUCUAUAGUAGGAUAUGAGAAAAUCAAAGGGGAAUAAAGGAAGGGAAAGGAGUAUGACAAGAUAGGCAACGAGUGAGUUUUAGUACAAAUGAGAUAUGUAAAGCAGAAUGAACCAGGAGAAGGAAAGACUGUGACUAAGAUUGAAUAUACUUUAUACAAGUUGUACAAGAAUAGUUAUGCAACCUACGAAUAUUUGUAUGCUAAGAAGGAGAUCAAGCAAGAAGAGUAAGGAUUCAGUAAUAACAAUGCGGUGGUGAUAUUUUGGAUACAUUAAGAAAAGAUGUAAAGAUGGUUUAAGCUAAAUUACUGAGAUAGAAUUAAUACUGAGGGAAAAUAGGACAUGGCCAUGGUUGAGCCGAAGGUUUAUCCCGAUACCGAUUGUAAGAUAAGAGAAGAGAAUGCAAGGUAAAGCAUGAAGACUAGGGAAACAACGCUAAGGUAUUUCUUGGGCUAAUUUGAGCACCUUCACAUAUUCUUGUAAAUAUUACAAUAGCGCGUGUGAUAGGAGGACUAAGAGCAGAACCUGAGUAAAGAGUGGGAGUAGACCUAUAAGAAUUAGAAAAGAAAACAGGAGGAACCAAUAUGCGAUGGUAAACCUACCAAAUGGAAAGACAUUUCCUAUUCUACAGUGUUGCAGAAAAGGUAAACCCAAAAUAAGAAAAAUUCGACUUAAGCUUCAAGUGUAGGUGGAUAUAUUAGAUUGCAACUAAUUAUGGGAGUAGCCAAAUUAUGACCACUUUCCUUGGACAUUCAAUACUAACUGAUGUCGGGAGGACAGUGGUAUUAAGUUAAGCAAGGAGAGACACGGCAUGAUAGAAGAGUAAUUGACUGGCCACCAUAACCAGUAUACUUAUAUAGGACUUGUUUAACAUUCGAGGACGAAUGUUCUAAAGGGGGAAGGAUGUUACAUCCCGUAUUUUCGUACGUCGGAAAGCGUGCGAGUUAAAUGAUGUUAGUAACGAACACGAGGUUAUCCCCCAAGCUUAUAGGUGGUUAAAGUGAUGGUACAUAUGUACUGUAAGGAUUUGAAGUUAAACGAAUCUAAGAAAAUGAGUUUUGUCGAGGAUCGAAAUUUAUUUGAUGAAAUACGAUCCAAGCCAUAAUAUCCCGUAUUUUUGGAUUAGGAAAAACUUAAUCGUCCAAUAUGAGCAAAAUUUACUCGAGCCCGGAGAAUUCGAUCAUAUCCAAGGAUGAAAAUUAAGAGCUCGGUGUAUACAAGGAAUGAAGUCCCAAAAUGAUUUGAGACGAAAAAGAGUGACGGCGAUGAUUGAAAAUAAUAUUUUAUGUGUGGCAAAUGAGGCUAUGGGCUAUGUUAUACUACAUGAUUAUGAUAAUGAGCAUAUGAAGUGUAUCAAAAAUGAUUUAUUUAAGUAAAUUGAGGUCAAGAAAUUAAUUAUGUGUGUAUUGGAGAAUUGUAUUGGAAAAAGCAAGAAAUUAAUUAUACUAUUGGAUAGCUAUUAGUGGACAUGGUCCACGUGUUUUAUUUAAAUGGGCUGUAAGCCUACAAGGACGUACAUGCACAUUGUUCCUUUGUCAAUUAGUGAUGACUAAUUAAAAAAAAUGGGCCAGCCAAGAUGACACGUGCAAAGGGCAAAACAAUGCACUAAAGUCUCUAUCUUUUAUAUUGAACUUUUCAUUUCUAGAAUACAUAUUCACAUGCUGCAAAUGGAUGUUGAAGGCAGCAACUAUUCUCCAUAGGCGUAGCAACUAUUUUCCAUAAGGCAGCAUUCAUUUGUAAGGUGAUAAAUAUUAAGGGUCGGAUCCAUGGACCACUAAAAGAGGUGAAAUCCAAAUCUUAUUCAAGUGAUGAAUAUAUUGGAAUGGAAAGUGAGGGCAGCAGCAACUUGUACGAAUUGCAAUGGAAUAUUUCCAUUGCUGGAGGAAAUUAACAUGACCGGAUAUCCUUAGUGGCAACACUGGUCAAUUUUGUUACGCAUUUAGCUCACUAUUUCAAUCUCAUCAUUCCGUUUAUCGCGUUGUAGGAUCCGGGCUUUCUUUGAAGUGAAGUAAGGUGGAAGAAGAUUAAAUCUUGGCAUAUAAGGUUAAAAGAGCGACGAGACGAACGGGUUACGAAUAGCCGCUAACAGGUGCAGAUACUCGCUUUGGUGAUCCGCCAGCUUAGGAUUCCCUUUCUGCUGCCUUGGAGAGCUCCGUUGUUCUGGAGUCUAGACUUUUGGUUUGAAUCUUAUGAUAUAUAUAUAUAUAUAUAUAUAUGUUAUCUAGGGGUACGACGGGGCCCUGUCCCGUCAUAUUUCGCUAUUCGUACUCUUAGAGGUCUGUAGAUAUAUGUGUGGGUUGUGUAUGGGUUCUGUUCAGCUGUGUCUAUGCGAUGUGCUGUGGUAUGAUGUUCGUCUAUAGUGGCGGCCUUGUCGGCUUGCAUACGGUAUUGAUAUGUGAUGGCAGCCUUGUCAGCUUGCGUAUUAUUUCACGAUAUGACUAGUUGUGACUCCUCAGGAGACAGUGAUCUGAAAGUAUAUAUAUAUGUGAUGA
Molecule: long non-coding RNA, 7493 nt
Organism: Lycium barbarum (goji berry)
Lineage: Eukaryota; Viridiplantae; Streptophyta; Magnoliopsida; Solanales; Solanaceae
Exons: 4
Source: RefSeq, a predicted model, not a curated record